GUGGGUAACCUGCCCAUCAGAAGGGGAUAACACUUGGAAACAGGUGCUAAUACCGUAUAACACUAUUUUCCGCAUGGAAGAAAGUUGAAAGGCGCUUUUGCGUCACUGAUGGAUGGACCCGCGGUGCAUUAGCUAGUUGGUGAGGUAACGGCUCACCAAGGCAACGAUGCAUAGCCGACCUGAGAGGGUGAUCGGCCACACUGGGACUGAGACACGGCCCAGACUCCUACGGGAGGCAGCAGUAGGGAAUCUUCGGCAAUGGACGAAAGUCUGACCGAGCAACGCCGCGUGAGUGAAGAAGGUUUUCGGAUCGUAAAACUCUGUUGUUAGAGAAGAACAAGGAUGAGAGUAAAAUGUUCAUCCCUUGACGGUAUCUAACCAGAAAGCCACGGCUAACUACGUGCCAGCAGCCGCGGUAAUACGUAGGUGGCAAGCGUUGUCCGGAUUUAUUGGGCGUAAAGCGAGCGCAGGCGGUUUCUUAAGUCUGAUGUGAAAGCCCCCGGCUCAACCGGGGAGGGUCAUUGGAAACUGGGAGACUUGAGUGCAGAAGAGGAGAGUGGAAUUCCAUGUGUAGCGGUGAAAUGCGUAGAUAUAUGGAGGAACACCAGUGGCGAAGGCGGCUCUCUGGUCUGUAAC
Molecule: ribosomal RNA, 636 nt
Filed under: uncultured Bacilli bacterium
Lineage: Bacteria; Bacillati; Bacillota; Bacilli
Description: bacterial SSU rRNA
Rfam family: Bacterial small subunit ribosomal RNA
Source: RNAcentral